This 465-nucleotide ribosomal RNA is filed under the name uncultured bacterium. RNAcentral's name for it is "partial 16S ribosomal RNA". It matches the Rfam family "Bacterial small subunit ribosomal RNA", at positions 338 to 795 of the family's 1533-position model. The record is from RNAcentral.
CCUACGGGAGGCAGCAGUAGGGAAUCUUGCACAAUGGACGAAAGCCUGAUGGAGCAACGCAGCGUGGGUGAAGAAUGCCCUCGGAGUGUAAAACUCUGUUGAUAGAGAAGUAAGAGCGUGAGAGUAACUGUUCACGCUUCGACGGUAUCUAACAGGAAAGGCAAGGCUAACUCCGUGCCAGCAGCUGCGGUAAUACGUAGGAGGCAAGUGUUAACCGGAUUUAUUGGGAGUAAGGGGAAAGGAGGCGGUCUUUUAAGUGUGAUGUGAAAGCCUUCGGCUUAACCGGAGUAGUGCAUUGGAAACUGGGAGUCUUGAGUGCAGAUGAGGAGAGUGGAACUCCUUGUGUAGCGGUGAAAUGCGUAGAUAUAUGGAAGAACACCAGUGGCGAAGGCGGCUCUCUAGUCUGUAACUGACGCUGAGGUUCGAAAGCGUGGGUAGCAAACAGGAUUAGAUACCCUGGUAGUC